Molecule: ribosomal RNA, 112 nt
Filed under: Caerostris darwini
Lineage: Eukaryota; Metazoa; Arthropoda; Arachnida; Araneae; Araneidae
Source: RNAcentral
AACGGCCGUACCAUGCUGAAUAUACCGGUUCUCGUUAGAUCACCGAAGUCAAGCAUCACUGGGCGCGGUCAGUACUUGGGUGGGUGACCACCUGGGAACACCGCGUGCUGUU